AUCACUUCUCGGCCUUUUGGCUAAGAUCAAGUGUAGUAUUUCAUUUUUUAGUGAGAUUGUAAAUGAUAUUGUAUUUUUUUUAUUUUAAUAGUCACAUGAUUAUUGCCAGUGUAUACACAUACAAUUGAUUUUUGCACGCUAUUCUUGUGUCCUAUGGCCUUGCUAAACUCACU
This 173-nucleotide small nuclear RNA is filed under the name Rhinolophus ferrumequinum (greater horseshoe bat). Its description in RNAcentral is "U2 spliceosomal RNA (ENSRFEG00010016125.1)". It matches the Rfam family "U2 spliceosomal RNA". From Rfam's summary of the family: U2 is a small nuclear RNA (snRNA) component of the spliceosome (involved in pre-mRNA splicing). Complementary binding between U2 snRNA (in an area lying towards the 5' end but 3' to hairpin I) and the branchpoint sequence (BPS) of the intron results the bulging out of an unpaired adenosine, on the BPS, which initiates a nucleophilic attack at the intronic 5' splice site, thus starting the first of two transesterification reactions that mediate splicing. The record is from Rfam by way of RNAcentral. Lineage: Eukaryota; Metazoa; Chordata; Mammalia; Chiroptera; Rhinolophidae.